Molecule: ribosomal RNA, 269 nt
Filed under: uncultured archaeon
Lineage: Archaea
Description: partial 16S ribosomal RNA
Rfam family: Archaeal small subunit ribosomal RNA
Source: RNAcentral
CAGCGCCACGAGUGGGAAUCGUAUAUUUGGCCUAAAGCGUCCGUAGCCGGAUUAGCAAAUUUUCUGUGAAAUCGAACAGCUCAACUGUUCGGCGGGCAGGAAACACUACUAAUCUUGGAACCGGGAGGGGUACAGAGUAUUCCAGGGGAAGCGGUAAAAUGCUAUAAUCCCUGGAGGACUACCUAUGGCGAAGGCACCGUACCAGAACGGAUUCGACGGUGAGGGACGAAAGCCAGGGGAGCGAUCCGGAUUAGAUACCCGAGUAGUCC